Molecule: ribosomal RNA, 294 nt
Filed under: Gammaproteobacteria bacterium
Lineage: Bacteria; Pseudomonadati; Pseudomonadota; Gammaproteobacteria
Description: partial 16S ribosomal RNA
Rfam family: Bacterial small subunit ribosomal RNA
Source: RNAcentral
UGAAGAGUUUGAUCCUGGCUCAGAUUGAACGCUGGCGGCAUGCCUAACACAUGCAAGUCGAACGGUAACAUGAGAGCUUGCUCUUGAUGACGAGUGGCGCACGGGUGCGUAACGCGUAUGCAACCUACCCUUUACUGGAGGAUAGCCCGAAGAAAUUCGGAUUAAUACUCCAUGGUAUCAUAAAACAGCAUUGUUUAAUGAUUAAAGAUUUAUUGGUAAAGGAUGGGCAUGCGUGACAUUAGUUUGUUGGUGAGGUAACGGCUCACCAAGACUAUGACGCCUAGCUGGUCUGAG